RNAcentral lists this ribosomal RNA (468 nucleotides) under uncultured bacterium. RNAcentral's name for it is "partial 16S ribosomal RNA". It matches the Rfam family "Bacterial small subunit ribosomal RNA", at positions 28 to 507 of the family's 1533-position model. The record is from RNAcentral.
GACGAACGCUGGCGGCGUGCUUAACACAUGCAAGUCGAACGGAAAGGCCCUGCUUUUGUGGGGUGCUCGAGUGGCGAACGUGUGAGUAACACGUGAGUAACCUGCCCUUGACUUUGGGAUAACUUCAGGUAACUGGGGCUAAUACCGGAUAGGAGCUCCUGCUGCAUGGUGGGGGUUGGAAAGUUUCGGCGGUGGGGGAUGGACUCGCGGCUUAUCAGCUUGUUGGUGGGGUAGUGGCUUACCAAGGCUUUGACGGGUAGCCGGCCUGAGAGGGUGACCGGCCACAUUGGGACUGAGAUACGGCCCGGACCCCUCCGGGAGGCAGCAGUGGGGAAUAUUGCACAAUGGGCGGAAGCCUGAUGCAGCAACGCCGCGUGCGGGAUGACGGCCUUCGGGUUGUAAACCGCUUUCGCCUGUGACGAAGCGUGAGUGACGGUAAUGGGUAAAGAAGCACCGGCUAACUACGUG